GACGAACGCUGGCGGCGUGCCUAAUACAUGCAAGUUGAGCGCUGAAGGUUGGUACUUGUACCAACUGGAUGAGCAGCGAACGGGUGAGUAACGCGUGGGGAAUCUGCCUUUGAGCGGGGGACAACAUUUGGAAACGAAUGCUAAUACCGCAUAAAAACUUUAAACACAAGUCCUAAGUUUGAAAGAUGCAAUUGCAUCACUCAAAGAUGAUCCCGCGUUGUAUUAGCUAGUUGGUGAGGUAAAGGCUCACCAAGGCGAUGAUACAUAGCCGACCUGAGAGGGUGAUCGGCCACAUUGGGACUGAGACACGGCCCAAACUCCUACGGGAGGCAGCAAUAGGGAAUCUUCGGCAAUGGACGAAAGUCUGACCGAGCAACGCCGCGUGAGUGAAGAAGGUUUUCGGAUCGUAAAACUCUGUUGGUAGAGAAGAACGUUGGUGAGAGUGGAAAGCUCAUCAAGUGACGGUAACUACCCAGAAAGGGACGGCUAACUACGUG
Molecule: ribosomal RNA, 497 nt
Filed under: uncultured bacterium
Lineage: Bacteria
Description: partial 16S ribosomal RNA
Rfam family: Bacterial small subunit ribosomal RNA
Source: RNAcentral